This 336-nucleotide ribosomal RNA is filed under the name Triticum aestivum (bread wheat). Its description in RNAcentral is "partial small subunit ribosomal RNA". The record is from RNAcentral. Lineage: Eukaryota; Viridiplantae; Streptophyta; Magnoliopsida; Poales; Poaceae.
AUGCCAAACCAGGGUCAUGGUUACCAGGUAUCUUCUAAAGGUCAACAGGUCUCAGGUGAUCCAUGGAACAAUAUUCCUUGCCAAAGUUUUCAGCCGAUGCUCAAGUACACUGGAGAUGGAGUUCAACCACCAGUACAAACUUCUAUCAAUUUCAGGGAUAAGCCGUACAGUGGAGGGGAUUGUGUGACAGUCCAAGGAAGCCUCGGGCAGAACGCAAUUUUCUCAGAGCAGAAAAAGAAAAAGAAAAAAAUGGAGGACUUUCCUAGCGUCUUCGUUCUAAAAAAAAUGGAGGACUUUCCAUGCAAGAUGGAUAUGUACAUCUCUUUUUUUGGGUGA